This is a long non-coding RNA of Hypanus sabinus (Atlantic stingray), 684 nucleotides long. RefSeq lists it as uncharacterized. The transcript is spliced from 3 exons. NCBI's taxonomy places the organism in Eukaryota, Metazoa, Chordata, Chondrichthyes, Myliobatiformes, Dasyatidae. The record is from RefSeq and is a predicted model, not a curated record.
GGAAAACACCGGUUUGAAAUUAGCACGAGGGUGGGGGCUUUCCACGAGGCUCACCUGAGCAGAAGUUGUUUUGCAGGCAUGAGAAAUCACAGUGAGAGCAACGCUGUGGGUUAGGUCCAGGUGCGUGGUGGUGGCAAUGGCGUCAUCUGUUGAGCGCUUGGGACGGUACGCAAACUGCAGGGUUCUUUUGAAGACAUGCUCUGUUCUUUGUGGGAAUGGGACCUGCUCUCAGGGUUUCACGAAUGGCCAUUGUUCGGCAGGCCAAGGGCUCGGUCCACAAGCUUCGCCUGCCUUUAGAUGCCGGGAUCUCAUGGCUCUGGAGAUGGGGGGUAUUGGAGGUCAGUACCUCUGCAGGAGAUUGAUGUUUCGUUGGAGACAGAAGAUCCCUGGCUGUGUGCACAGAGCUUGGAAAAAGCGAUGCAACAGACUUUUAACAUCGUAAACCAGAGAAUUCUUUGUUAUGUCUCUCGUCUUGCUGUAAAAUAGAGAUACUGCUUUCUCCCUCAUUAGGGAGAGAGAGAGCCUGAGGUAUGUCGAAUUACCAGGUGAACAAGUAGUCUUUGGUGUACUGCAAGUCUGUGUCUUUGUUGUUGUUUUGCUCAUGCUUGCGUGCUCAAUGGUGGGUGCUGAUUUUUUUUUGCUGGUAGGAGGGCAAUCAUUGCUUGCUGCUGCUUACGCGCGGGA